RNAcentral lists this ribosomal RNA (200 nucleotides) under uncultured bacterium. RNAcentral's name for it is "partial 16S ribosomal RNA". It matches the Rfam family "Bacterial small subunit ribosomal RNA", at positions 524 to 723 of the family's 1533-position model. The record is from RNAcentral.
UACGUAGGGUGCGAGCGUUAAUCGGAAUUACUGGGCGUAAAGCGUGCGCAGGCGGUGAUGUAAGACCGAUGUGAAAUCCCCGGGCUUAACCUGGGAACUGCAUUGGUGACUGCAUCGCUCGAGUAUGGCAGAGGGGGGUAGAAUUCCACGUGUAGCAGUGAAAUGUGUAGAGAUGUGGAGGAAUACCGAUGGCGAAGGCA